CAGGGAUUAAAAAAGGAAUUUAAUCAGCCUAAGGGGAAAGGAACGCCAAGGAAAUCUUUCAGAAGAGCUAAUGUGGGAACCAAGUGCUCAUGGAUCACCUCAAGCAUAAGUGAACAAGACAAAUUUUGGAACUGCCAAUAGUUAAAGUCCUAGGAUUCCUCAACUGUCUGCUGGCUCUGUCUCUCAGCAAAUCUUCCCAUCGCACUGGACACAUGGAAACUUUGGAUCUCUACACAACAAUCAAGGGGAACAAGCAACUGUAGGGAAAGUACAAAGUCUAACAAUUUCUUCUUCAUGGACCUUUUUGCUCAAUCUUUCUGAGGAAAGAGAGCUAGAAGACAUAGAUAAGGAAGAGAAGAGCUAUUCUUAGGAGAGAGCCAGAUUUCAGACACUGAGGAAUGCAAUAUGGACAUCCCGUCUGACUACACAGUAUACAAACUCUUUACCUAAUGUUGCAGAUGGGUUUCAUAUAUCCGAGGGGCUGUUUAUUAAUGUGGAUAUUUUUUCUCUCGCUUAUUUACAUAUUGCUCACAAGCCUGCCUACAACAUGGAAAUGAUUUGCAUGCAUCUCGUUUCUUAGGAGUAAAAGCACACUCCUACACAAUAGGGCACAUCAUUUCACAGAGAGGCAAGUC
This 635-nucleotide long non-coding RNA is filed under the name Papio anubis (olive baboon). Its description in RNAcentral is "lncRNA (ENSPANG00000046815.1)". The record is from RNAcentral. Lineage: Eukaryota; Metazoa; Chordata; Mammalia; Primates; Cercopithecidae.